AUGGAGCAGGCAGGAGCCCCACCCUCCUGGUUGCAGCUGAAGCUGCCAAAGUUGCAGUUGCAGACACAGGCCUCCCUGAGAUGUUGGCAGAGCUGGGAGCACACAGCACCCCCACCUCCACAAAGCACAGCUGCAGCUACCCAAACCAUGGCUGUGAACCCAGGCAUCCCUACACUCUUGGAGGCCCAAGAAGGUCCCCCCUGCCCUUGCAGGCUUGGAAGUGCCUGCUCUCACUGCCUGCCUUCUCCCUGCUGUCGGCACCUGCUCCCAUUUAGGAGGAAAAUUGGGAUUGAGCCCAGGCACUGCCACAGCCUGGCUGGGUGUGCACACACUUGGGGCAGUGAUGAUAAGCCAGCCCCUGGCUGCCUCGCCCCCCUUUGGACUUUGGGCACUGACGAUCAUAGGAGGGAAGUUGAUGGGGGGCUGAGGGAAGCUCAGGACUGGCCUGCAGGUGCCCCUGGGCACCUACAGCCUGGGCACCAUGAACAGCAGCAGAAGGUAGACAUGUUCCUGGGCAGAAGGGGGCAAGGCCCAGUGAGGCUCCACCUUCAGGCCAGGGUGGGCCUAAAGGCUGGGGGCCAGGCUACCAGUCCCAUGGACAGGAGCGGGAACUUGUGGUGCCUUUACCGGGCCCACUUAUGGCUGCCCAUGGACCAAUUGGUACAUACUUUCUCCCCACUGAGUCCCGUAAAAGCCCUGGACUCGGCCAGAGCUGAGCAGAUGUCAGGACAAGCAGCUGCAGAGAGGAGCAACCCACUCCAGGGUCUCCUCUCUGCUGAGAGCUGGGGAGACAAUGAGAGGACCUGCCUGCAGAGAGGAGCUACCCACUCCAGGGUCUCCUCUCUUCUAGGAGCUGGACACUUAUCGGGACACCUUGGUUGUGGAAAGAAGCUACUACUGCGAGUUUCCUCUGAGCUGUUCUAUUGCUCAAUAAAGCUCCUCUUCAUCUUGCUCACCCUCCACUUGUCUGCAUACCUCAUUCUUCCUGGUCAUAGGACAAGAACUCAGGACCCGUUGAAUGGUGAGGCAAAAGAGCUGUAA
This 1041-nucleotide long non-coding RNA is filed under the name Papio anubis (olive baboon). RNAcentral describes it as "lncRNA (ENSPANG00000039835.1)". Lineage: Eukaryota; Metazoa; Chordata; Mammalia; Primates; Cercopithecidae. The record is from RNAcentral.